GCAGUCGAGCGGUAGAGAGGUGCUUGCACCUCUUGAGAGCGGCGGACGGGUGAGUAAAGCCUAGGAAUCUGCCUGGUAGUGGGGGAUAACGCUCGGAAACGGACGCUAAUACCGCAUACGUCCUACGGGAGAAAGCAGGGGACCUUCGGGCCUUGCGCUAUCAGAUGAGCCUAGGUCGGAUUAGCUAGUUGGUGAGGUAAUGGCUCACCAAGGCGACGAUCCGUAACUGGUCUGAGAGGAUGAUCAGUCACACUGGAACUGAGACACGGUCCAGACUCCUACGGGAGGCAGCAGUGGGGAAUAUUGGACAAUGGGCGAAAGCCUGAUCCAGCCAUGCCGCGUGUGUGAAGAAGGUCUUCGGAUUGUAAAGCACUUUAAGUUGGGAGGAAGGGCAUUAACCUAAUACGUUAGUGUUUUGACGUUACCGACAGAAUAAGCACCGGCUAACUCUGUGCCAGCAGCCGCGGUAAUACAGAGGGUGCAAGCGUUAAUCGGAAUUACUGGGCGUAAAGCGCGCGUAGGUGGUUCGUUAAGUUGGAUGUGAAAUCCCCGGGCUCAACCUGGGAACUGCAUUCAAAACUGUCGAGCUAGAGUAUGGUAGAGGGUGGUGGAAUUUCCUGUGUAGCGGUGAAAUGCGUAGAUAUAGGAAGGAACACCAGUGGC
This 663-nucleotide ribosomal RNA is filed under the name uncultured bacterium. RNAcentral describes it as "bacterial SSU rRNA". It matches the Rfam family "Bacterial small subunit ribosomal RNA", at positions 57 to 716 of the family's 1533-position model. The record is from RNAcentral.